RNAcentral lists this ribosomal RNA (301 nucleotides) under uncultured bacterium. RNAcentral describes it as "partial 16S ribosomal RNA". It matches the Rfam family "Bacterial small subunit ribosomal RNA", at positions 509 to 807 of the family's 1533-position model. The record is from RNAcentral.
CAGUAGCCACGGUAAUACGAAGGGUGCAAGCGUUACUCGGAAUUACUGGGCGUAAAGCGUGCGUAGGUGGUGGUUUAAGUCCGUUGUGAAAGCCCUGGGCUCAACCUGGGAAUUGCAGUGGAUACUGGAUCACUAGAGUGUGGUAGAGGAUAGUGGAAUUUCCGGUGUAGCAGUGAAAUGCGUAGAGAUCGGAAGGAACAUCUGUGGCGAAGGCGACUAUCUGGGCCAACACUGACACUGAGGCACGAAAGCGUGGGGAGCAAACAGGAUUAGAUACCCGCGUAGUCCCUGUCUCUUAUAC